Felis catus (domestic cat) is the source of this 479-nucleotide long non-coding RNA. RefSeq lists it as uncharacterized. The transcript is spliced from 4 exons. The record is from RefSeq and is a predicted model, not a curated record. NCBI's taxonomy places the organism in Eukaryota, Metazoa, Chordata, Mammalia, Carnivora, Felidae.
UUCUGGCUUCUCUCCAGCACUAGAUCCUGUGCCCAGGUCUGAAAAUGGAUGCAGCAAGUCUGAGCUGGCAGGAUCUGAGGCACACACCUGCACCCCGGCUACAAAGGAGUGUGAAAAAAACACUAAGCAUCCAGCAUUUUGUAGCCACUUUAUCUGGGGGUUAGGUCUUGUUUUCUGUCAAGAUAAAUAAGCACUCACCUAACCAGGAUGCCCUAUGAAUCUGGCCCUGACCUACCCUUCCAUUGCAAAUAUAAUAGCUGGUAAGAAACGGAGGCUCAGGGGGUUAAGGGACCUAUCCAACGUCACAGCUGAUAUGUUAAGGGGAAGAGAAAAGAGGAAUAUCAAACAGAGCUACUAAAAAGUCACACGACACUAGGAGGCUCCCAUUCUGCAAAUCAAUGUUGUUAAAAUUUAUGUUCCUUGCUAGCCUACCGGGCCUGGGGUUUCAGAGUGAAUAAAUCAAACAGUCUUGAUCUAGA